This 503-nucleotide ribosomal RNA is filed under the name uncultured bacterium. RNAcentral describes it as "partial 16S ribosomal RNA". It matches the Rfam family "Bacterial small subunit ribosomal RNA", at positions 30 to 523 of the family's 1533-position model. The record is from RNAcentral.
AUUGAACGCUGGCGGCAGGCUUAACACAUGCAAGUCGAGCGGGGUGAUGGUGCUUGCACUAUCACUUAGCGGCGGACGGGUGAGUAAUGCUUAGGAAUCUGCCUAUUAGUGGGGGACAACAUCUCGAAAGGGAUGCUAAUACCGCAUACGUCCUACGGGAGAAAGCAGGGGAUCACUUGUGACCUUGCGCUAAUAGAUGAGCCUAAGUCGGAUUAGCUAGUUGGUGGGGUAAAGGCCUACCGAGGCGACGAUCUGUAGCGGGUCUGAGAGGAUGAGCCGCCACACUGGGACUGUGACACGGCCCAGACUCCUACGGGAGGCAGCAGUGGGGAAUAUCGGACAAUGGGGGGAACCCUGAUCCAGCCAUGCCGCGUGUGUGAAGAAGGCCUUAUGGUUGUAAAGCACUUUAAGCGAGGAGGAGGCUCUUUUGGUUAAUACCCAAGAUGAGUGGACGUUACUCGCAGAAUAAGCACCGGCUAACUCUGCGCCAGCCGCCGCCGUAA